UUGAUCCUUGAUCAAUCUUUCUUUCAAGGAGUCCAAUCAAAAGGAUUUCAAAAAUGUUUCAAAGAACAAAAAUCUCAAAUUCUAAUCUAAGCAUGGGUUCAUUGGCAAAACGUUUUCUAAGCCAUUAUAUUGAUGAAUUAAUGUUUGAUUAAUGCUUUUAAGAUGAUUUCAUAUGGAAUUCCUUGUAGAACCCAUGUUUUCCCUAAACUCCUAAACUUGCUUAUGAAGUG
Molecule: long non-coding RNA, 230 nt
Filed under: Solanum tuberosum (potato)
Lineage: Eukaryota; Viridiplantae; Streptophyta; Magnoliopsida; Solanales; Solanaceae
Description: long non-coding RNA (STUB_LNC006440)
Source: RNAcentral